RNAcentral lists this transfer RNA (73 nucleotides) under Mycocalicium subtile. RNAcentral describes it as "tRNA-Lys". It matches the Rfam family "tRNA". From Rfam's summary of the family: Transfer RNA (tRNA) molecules are approximately 80 nucleotides in length. The record is from RNAcentral. Lineage: Eukaryota; Fungi; Ascomycota; Eurotiomycetes; Mycocaliciales; Mycocaliciaceae.
GAGACUUUAAUUUAAUUGAUAAAAUAUGUGACUCUUAAUCAUUAUCAUGAGGGUUCGAAUCCCUCAAGACUUA